GACGGAGGAUGCAAGCGUUACCCGGAAUGAUUGGGCGUAAAGCGUCCGCAGGUGGCAGUUCAAGUCUGCUGUCAAAGACCGGGGCUUAACUUCGGAAAGGCAGUGGAAACUGAACAGCUAGAGUAUGGUAGGGGCAGAGGGAAUUCCUGGUGUAGCGGUGAAAUGCGUAGAUAUCUGGAGGAACACCGGUGGCGAAGGCGGCAUCCUGGACCAACACUGACGCUGAGGAGCGAAAGCCAGGGGAGCAAACGGG
This 253-nucleotide ribosomal RNA is filed under the name uncultured bacterium. RNAcentral describes it as "partial 16S ribosomal RNA". It matches the Rfam family "Bacterial small subunit ribosomal RNA", at positions 524 to 776 of the family's 1533-position model. The record is from RNAcentral.